This 409-nucleotide ribosomal RNA is filed under the name uncultured Methylomirabilota bacterium. RNAcentral describes it as "bacterial SSU rRNA". It matches the Rfam family "Bacterial small subunit ribosomal RNA", at positions 1026 to 1434 of the family's 1533-position model. The record is from RNAcentral. Lineage: Bacteria; Methylomirabilota (SeqCode).
GCGUGGAGACAGGUGGUGCACGGCUGUCGUCAGCUCGUGUCGUGAGAUGUUGGGUUAAGUCCCGCAACGAGCGCAACCCUCACCCCUAGUUGCCACCGGGUAAAGCCGAGCACUCGAGGGGAACUGCCAGCGUCAAGCUGGAGGAAGGCGGGGAUGACGUCAAGUCAUCAUGCCCCUUACGCCCUGGGCUACACACGUGCUACAAUGGCCGGUACAAAGGGACGCGAGACUGCAAAGUGGAGCUAAUCCCAAAAAACCGGUCUAAGUUCAGAUUGCAGUCUGCAACUCGACUGCAUGAAGGAGGAAUCGCUAGUAAUCGCGCAUCAGCACGGCGCGGUGAAUACGUUCCCGGGCCUUGUACACACCGCCCGUCACACCACGAAAGCUGUCUGUACUCGAAGUCGCUGAG